RNAcentral lists this ribosomal RNA (253 nucleotides) under uncultured bacterium. Its description in RNAcentral is "partial 16S ribosomal RNA". It matches the Rfam family "Bacterial small subunit ribosomal RNA", at positions 524 to 776 of the family's 1533-position model. The record is from RNAcentral.
UACGUAGGGUCCGAGCGUUGUCCGGAAUUAUUGGGCGUAAAGAGCUCGUAGGCGGUUUGUCGCGUCUGCUGUGAAAUCCCGAGGCUCAACCUCGGGCCUGCAGUGGGUACGGGCAGACUAGAGUGCGGUAGGGGAGACUGGAAUUCCCGGUGUAGCGGUGAAAUGCGCAGAUAUCAGGAGGAACACCGGAGGCGAAGGCGGGGCUCUGGGCGGUAACUGACGCUGAGAAGCGAAAGCAUGGGGAGCGAACAGG